GCCCGCGUAGCUCAGCGGAUAGAGCACCUGCCUCCGGCGCAGGUUGUCCCGAGUUCGAUUCUCGGCGUGGGCU
Molecule: transfer RNA, 73 nt
Filed under: Mycolicibacterium mageritense
Lineage: Bacteria; Bacillati; Actinomycetota; Actinomycetes; Mycobacteriales; Mycobacteriaceae
Also listed under: 2 other names
Description: tRNA-Arg
Rfam family: tRNA
About the family: Transfer RNA (tRNA) molecules are approximately 80 nucleotides in length. Their secondary structure includes four short double-helical elements and three loops (D, anti-codon, and T loops).
Source: RNAcentral